GACGAACGCUGGCGGCGUGCUUAACACAUACAAGUCGAACGAUGAAGCCUAGCUUGCUAGGUGGAUUAGUGGCGAACGGGUGAGUAAUACGUGAGUAACCUACCUUUAACUCUGGGAUAAGCCUGGGAAACUGGGUCUAAUACCGGAUACGACCAAUCUCCGCAUGGGGUGUUGGUGGAAAGCGUUAUGUAGUGGUUAUAGAUGGGCUCACGGCCUAUCAGCUUGUUGGUGAGGUAACGGCUCACCAAGGCGACGACGGGUAGCCGGCCUGAGAGGGUGACCGGCCACACUGGGACUGAGACACGGCCCAGACUCCUACGGGAGGCAGCAGUGGGGAAUAUUGCACAAUGGGCGCAAGCCUGAUGCAGCGACGCCGCGUGAGGGAUGACGGCCUUCGGGUUGUAAACCUCUGUUAGCAGGGAAGAAGAGAAAUUGACGGUACCUGCAGAGAAAGCGCCGGCUAACUACGUGCCAGCAGCCGCGGUAAUACGUAGGGCGCGAGCGUUGUCCGGAAUUAUUGGGCGUAAAGAGCUUGUAGGCGGUUUGUCGCGUCUGCUGUGAAGGCCGGGGCUUAACCCCGUGUAUUGCAGUGGGUACGGGCAGACUAGAGUGCAGUAGGGGAGACUGGAAUUCCUGGUGUAGCGGUGGAAUGCGCAGAUAUCAGGAGGAACACCGAUGGCGAAGGCAGGUCUCUGGGCUGUAACUGACGCUGAGAAGCGAAAGCAUGGGGAGCGAACAGGAUUAGAUACCCUGGUAGUCCAUGCCGUAAACGUUGGGCACUAGGUGUGGGGGACAUUCCACGUUUUCCGCGCCGUAGCUAACGCAUUAAGUGCCCCGCCUGGGGAGUACGGCCGCAAGGCUAAAACUCAAAGAAAUUGACGGGGGCCCGCACAAGCGGCGGAGCAUGCGGAUUAAUUCGAUGCAACGCGAAGAACCUUACCAAGGCUUGACAUAUACUGGACCGCAUCAGAGAUGGUGUUUCCCUUCGGGGCUGGUAUACAGGUGGUGCAUGGUUGUCGUCAGCUCGUGUCGUGAGAUGUUGGGUUAAGUCCCGCAACGAGCGCAACCCUCGUUCUAUGUUGCCAGCACGUUAUGGUGGGGACUCAUAGGAGACUGCCGGGGUCAACUCGGAGGAAGGUGGGGAUGACGUCAAAUCAUCAUGCCCCUUAUGUCUUGGGCUUCACGCAUGCUACAAUGGCCGGUACAGAGGGUUGCGAUACUGUGAGGUGGAGCUAAUCCCUAAAAGCCGGUCUCAGUUCGGAUUGGGGUCUGCAACUCGACCCCAUGAAGUCGGAGUCGCUAGUAAUCGCAGAUCAGCAACGCUGCGGUGAAUACGUUCCCGGGCCU
Molecule: ribosomal RNA, 1347 nt
Filed under: uncultured bacterium
Lineage: Bacteria
Description: bacterial SSU rRNA
Rfam family: Bacterial small subunit ribosomal RNA
Source: RNAcentral